Molecule: long non-coding RNA, 282 nt
Filed under: Apteryx owenii (little spotted kiwi)
Lineage: Eukaryota; Metazoa; Chordata; Aves; Apterygiformes; Apterygidae
Description: lncRNA (ENSAOWG00000008673.1)
Source: RNAcentral
AUGUUAAAAUGUUCAUUUGCCAGCAAAUGUUUCAGCAGACAACAUUGCCACCAGUUUCCCCAGUGCGAGGAGGAACACCUGCUGAAAUGGUCUGUGGGAUGGUCACUCGGGCCAAGGCCCUGCAGCAAGUGGCCAGGACGUCGUUGCAGACUCUUCUCCCUCAGUUGCCUGCGUCCGAGCCCUGGAGCGGACAACCCUUGCAAGCAGAGGAGAGAUGCUGGUAGGUAAAGAUGCCCCAUGGUUGCUUCAAAGGAGGUCAUUUUUCGUUUGAUUGUAGUCUGG